GACGAACGCUGGCGGCGUGCCUAAUACAUGCAAGUAGAACGCUGAAGGAGGAGCUUGCUUCUCUGGAUGAGUUGCGAACGGGUGAGUAACGCGUAGGUAACCUGCCUGGUAGCGGGGGAUAACUAUUGGAAACGAUAGCUAAUACCGCAUAAUAUUGACUGUUGCAUGAUAGUCAGUUGAAAGGUGCAAUUGCACCACUACCAGAUGGCCCUGCGUUGUAUUAGCUAGUUGUGGGGUAACGGCCCACCAAGGCGACGAUACAUAGCCGACCUGAGAGGGUGAGCGGCCCCGCUGGGAUGGGGACACGGCCCAGACUCCUACGGGAGGCAGCAGUAGGGAAUCUUCGGCAAUGGACGGAAGUCUGACCGAGCAACGCCGCGUGAGUUAAGAAGGGUCUCGGAUCGUAAAGCUCUGUUGUAAGGGAAGAACGAGUGUGAGAGUUGAAAGCUCACACUGUGACGGUAGCUUAUCAGAAAGGGACGGCUAACUACGUG
RNAcentral lists this ribosomal RNA (494 nucleotides) under uncultured bacterium. RNAcentral describes it as "partial 16S ribosomal RNA". It matches the Rfam family "Bacterial small subunit ribosomal RNA", at positions 28 to 507 of the family's 1533-position model. The record is from RNAcentral.